Molecule: non-coding RNA, 125 nt
Organism: Triticum aestivum (bread wheat)
Lineage: Eukaryota; Viridiplantae; Streptophyta; Magnoliopsida; Poales; Poaceae
Source: Rfam
CUUAUACUCCCUCCGUCCGAAAAAGCUUGUUCCUCAAAUGGAUGUAUCUAGACCAAGUUAGUGCUAGAUACAUCCAUUCGAAGGACAAGUUUGGGACAAGUUUUUUGGGACGGAGGGAGUACUUG